RNAcentral lists this ribosomal RNA (254 nucleotides) under uncultured bacterium. Its description in RNAcentral is "partial 16S ribosomal RNA". It matches the Rfam family "Bacterial small subunit ribosomal RNA", at positions 524 to 776 of the family's 1533-position model. The record is from RNAcentral.
CACGUAGGCACCAAGCGUUGUCCGGAUUUAUUGGGCGUAAAGAGCUCGUAGGCGGUUGAGUAAGUCGGGUGUGAAAACUCUGGGCUUAACCCAGAGCCGCCACUCGAUACUGCUCUGACUUGAGUUCGGUAGGGGAGCAGGGAGUUCCUAGUGUAGCGGUGAAAUGCGCAGAUAUUAGGAGGAACACCGGUGGCGAAGGCGCUGCUCUGGGCCGAAACUGACGCUGAGGAGCGAAAGCGUGGGUAGCAAACAGG